This 253-nucleotide ribosomal RNA is filed under the name uncultured bacterium. RNAcentral describes it as "partial 16S ribosomal RNA". It matches the Rfam family "Bacterial small subunit ribosomal RNA", at positions 524 to 776 of the family's 1533-position model. The record is from RNAcentral.
UACGUAGGUGACCAGCGUUGUCCGGAUUUACUGGGCGUAAAGAGCGCGCAGGCGGUCGUUCAAGUCGAGUGUGAAAGCCCCCGGCUCAACUGGGGAGGGUCAUUCGAUACUGAUCGACUCGAAGGCAGGAGAGGGAAGCGGAAUUCCCGGUGUAGUGGUGAAAUGCGUAGAUAUCGGGAGGAACACCAGUGGCAAAGGCGGCUUCCUGGCCUGUUCUUGACGCUGAGGCGCGAAAGCUAGGGGAGCAAACGGG